This 65-nucleotide transfer RNA is filed under the name Thalamita sima. Its description in RNAcentral is "tRNA-Glu". The record is from RNAcentral. Lineage: Eukaryota; Metazoa; Arthropoda; Malacostraca; Decapoda; Portunidae.
GUUUUUAUAGUGUAAGCAACACGUUACAUUUUCGUUGUAAAACUGAAAUUCUUUUUCUAAAAACU